Molecule: transfer RNA, 86 nt
Filed under: Flexistipes sinusarabici DSM 4947
Lineage: Bacteria; Pseudomonadati; Deferribacterota; Deferribacteres; Deferribacterales; Flexistipitaceae
Rfam family: tRNA
About the family: Transfer RNA (tRNA) molecules are approximately 80 nucleotides in length.
Source: Rfam by way of RNAcentral
GCCCGGGUGGCGGAAUUGGUAGACGCACAGGACUUAAAAUCCUGUGGGAGCCUGCUCCCGUGCCGGUUCGAUUCCGGCCCCGGGCA